UUAACACAUGCAAGUCGAGGGGCAUCGCGGAGUAGCAAUAUUCUGGCGGCGACCGGCGCACGGGUGAGUAACGCGUAUGCAACCUACCCCGAACAGGGGGAUAACCCGGGGAAAUCCGGACUAAUACCCCAUAACGAUCGUAACGGGCAUCCGUUUCGGUCCAAAGCGGCGACGCGGUACGGGACGGGCAUGCGUAACAUUAGCUAGUUGGUGGGGCAACGGCCCACCAAGGCGACGAUGUUUAGGGGACCUGAGAGGGUGAUCCCCCACACUGGUACUGAGACACGGACCAGACUCC
RNAcentral lists this ribosomal RNA (298 nucleotides) under uncultured Bacteroidota bacterium. RNAcentral's name for it is "uncultured Bacteroidetes bacterium partial 16S ribosomal RNA". It matches the Rfam family "Bacterial small subunit ribosomal RNA", at positions 48 to 339 of the family's 1533-position model. The record is from RNAcentral. Lineage: Bacteria; Pseudomonadati; Bacteroidota.